This 461-nucleotide ribosomal RNA is filed under the name uncultured bacterium. Its description in RNAcentral is "bacterial SSU rRNA". It matches the Rfam family "Bacterial small subunit ribosomal RNA", at positions 331 to 793 of the family's 1533-position model. The record is from RNAcentral.
CCAGACUCCUACGGGAGGCAGCAGUGGGGAAUAUUGCACAAUGGGGGGAACCCUGAUGCAGCGACGCCGCGUGGGUGAAGGAGCACCUCGGUGCGUAAAGCCCUAUCGGCAGGGAAGAAAAGCGAACAGGGUCGCCUGGACGGGACCUGACUAAGAAGCCCCGGCUAACUACGUGGCAGCAGCCGCGGGAAUACGUAGGGGGCAAGCGUUAUCCGGAUUCACUGGGUGUAAAGGGAGCGUAGACGGCGACGCAAGUCUGGAGUGAAAGCCCGGGGCCCAACCCCGGGACUGCUCUGGAAACUGCGUCGCUGGAGUCCGGGGGGGCAGGCGGAAUUCCUGGUGUAGCGGUGAAAUGCGCAGAUAUCAGGAGGAACACCGGUGGCGAAGGCGGCCUGCUGGACUGCAACUGACGUUGAGGCCCGAAAGCGUGGGGAGCAAACAGGAUUAGAUACCCCCGUAAG